RNAcentral lists this ribosomal RNA (462 nucleotides) under uncultured bacterium. Its description in RNAcentral is "partial 16S ribosomal RNA". It matches the Rfam family "Bacterial small subunit ribosomal RNA", at positions 29 to 507 of the family's 1533-position model. The record is from RNAcentral.
AGUGAACGCUGGCGGCGUGCCUAAUACAUGCAAGUCGAACGGAGAUUAAGUAGCUUGCUAUUUAAUCUUAGUGGCGCACGGGUGAGUAAUAUAUAGCUAACUUGCCCAUUACUAGGGGACAACAGUUGGAAACGACUGCUAAUACCUUAUACUCCGUAUCUAUAUAAGUAGAUACGGGAAAGUUUUUCGGUAAUGGAUAGGGCUAUAUCGUAUCAGCUAGUUGGUAAGGUAAUGGCUUACCAAGGCUAUGACGCGUAACUGGUCUGAGAGGAUGAUCAGUCACACUGGAACUGAGACACGGUCCAGACUCCUACGGGAGGCAGCAGUAGGGAAUAUUGCUCAAUGGGGGAAACCCUGAAGCAGCAACGCCGCGUGGAGGAUGACACUUUUCGGAGCGUAAACUCCUUUUCUUGGGAAAGAAUUAUGACGGUACCCAAGGAAUAAGCACCGGCUAACUCCGUG